CAGAAACACAUGGAGUGGACUAUGAAUAUUCCUAUUAAAAUGUUCAAAUAUAAGAGUGGCAUGUGACCUAGUUUCCAAAUCAUUUUGUAAAUACUGCAUUGUUAGAGUGUUACGCUACUUGCAUCUCAAAUCCAGAGACUAACAGAACAGAUAUGGAAGCAGAGGUGCAAUAUAAGUCAAGGGAUGGUAUCUAAAGCAGAAUACAGUAGUAUCGAAUAUGGGGACAGAAGCCUGGUGGGGACUGAAGAUGGGUACUCAUACAGAGCGUGCAUGGCAGUGAGAGCCUGAGUAAGACAUACUCAAGUGCUUAUCUGUGCCAGGUUUAAGAGGCCCCAGAGCAUUACUACAACUUGAAAUUUAGUUAGCUUGUGAAGAAAUGCAGCACUGCUGUCAGCUCAGUGAGGGGGCUUGAUAAACAUGGCAGUAGAGCUUGCAGCAGACAUUCCCAAGCCAAGAAGAAAGCAGCCUCACUCACAAAGGGAAUUUCUGUUUUCAGCACAGGCUUCCAGCAAAAAGUCCCAAUGCAUUUAUAACCAGACCCUAAUUUUUAAAAAAUACAUGUGUCGGUGUACUGAAAAGGGGUGGGAGCUUCUGUGACAGAGGGGGUCUGGUGAAAAGGGAUAUAGUUAGAAUCUCACAACUUCAGAUUCAUUCCAGGAUUCAGAACAAAAUACAUUUUUCCUCUCCCCACCCCCAAUUAUCAUAUAUAAAUAUGGGAAAUCAAUUUGGAUCAGGCCUGGACUCAGCUAUCCUACAGCCAAGUUUUCUCUUGCAACGAGAGACUGUCUAAGGGGUGGAUCUGUCUGUCCUUGCCAGAAGGCAGGGAGGAACUGUCUCUCCGCAGCCUACCAUUCCCCCUCCCAGCCAAAACCCCACUUGGGCCCAAACACACACACGCACGCACACACACACACACACACACACACACAGAGAGAGAGAGAGAGAGAGAGAGAGAGAGAGAGAGAGAGAGAGAGAGAGAGAGAAAUCAUGGUGAAAGCUGUGUUUCUCCCUUGCCAAGCUCCUUGUUGUCCAGUUAUAUUAAUUGCCAGAAAGGGACCGGAAAUGGAUCUGUGGGGGAGGAGAAGCAGAAAGAGGCAGUGCUGUAUUUUCCCUUCAAUGUUUGGCUUCCCGCAACAUUCCACAGGACAAGCUUAAAGCUCACUGCCAGAAAUGCUGUUCCAUCCUCACCCCACAAGCUGCUGCUGGAGCCUUCUUGGAUCAUAGCCAGAGGGACAUCCUUCCCCUAUCAAAUUAAAAUACCCUGCUAGAACUCCAUCCUACACUUGCAAGCCAGUUGUCAGUCUUGAUGGAGCCCAGCCUUCAAGUUCCUUCCCAACCAAGCUGGGGGAGAGUGGCAGAUUUAUCUUUUCCAACAAAGCAAAAGGCCUCCGGGACCCUUUGAAGCGAGCAGAGGGGCCCAGGCAGAGGGCAGCUGGCUGGAGAACAGAUCCUGCUGGAGUACCCCCUGCAUAUUCUUCUCAUCCAGAUCACAAAGAAUUCCUCUCUUCAAAAGGCCCUUGUCCUAUAUUCAAAUAACCAUCACCCAGAACAAUAAGAAAUGAGUAACAAUGAUCUUUAAUUUUUGUUUUGUUUAUUAAACACACUGCAAUAAAUUUGCUGGUGUCAGAGAAUGGUUUGUCUUC
Molecule: long non-coding RNA, 1643 nt
Filed under: Pogona vitticeps (central bearded dragon)
Lineage: Eukaryota; Metazoa; Chordata; Lepidosauria; Squamata; Agamidae
Description: lncRNA (ENSPVIG00000014355.1)
Source: RNAcentral